Molecule: long non-coding RNA, 1692 nt
Organism: Dicentrarchus labrax (European seabass)
Lineage: Eukaryota; Metazoa; Chordata; Actinopteri; Moronidae
Source: Ensembl
UAAAUUUGCAGGAGUUAGGGGAGGGGGGGUGAAGUUGCUCUGAGGAUUUCAGCACACAUGCCAGCGCCAGAAGGUGAGCGGGACAGUGACAGUAAGUCGACAGAUGAAGGAAGAGGAGGAGGAGGAGGAGGAGAGAUGGCAUACAGUACGGUCCAGAUUGCAUUCAGUUGGCUAUGGGAAACCAAGAUGACGCAGUGUUUCUAUUUGUUCAAUUGAGCCCCCGCUGCUGGCUUCUAAUGGGUCUUUCCACUGAGCUCAUCUUCUCUAUUUCAUCUAACACCUGCCUCCCUGUCACAGACAUGGAGAGAACAACAGAGACAGAGAAAUCAGCUCUCAGUUGAGGGUCAAAUGAUUGCAGUAAUUCCUGAUCUUCCUGUUCUCUCCCCUGAAUAACACGUAAGAGAAAAAAAGGGAUAAAAUGCCGAAACAUAUAUGUAAAAUAUGUGACUUUCAUAUUUUUGUUCAUCAUUAAAACAAUAACAUUCAUUAUCAGUGUGAGAUGUCAUACAUUAUGGAGACAAAACAGCCGGGAGACAGAUAAACAAGCCAGAGAAAUGUGUUGAUGUAAUGAUGUAAGGUUCAAUCCUGAAUGUUGAGCACAGCUCUGGACAGCACAGAGUCAUUGAUCUGUGAGGAGGAGAUACUAACGCAAUCGAUGCAAUACACUGAUGAGAGUGUUUGCAGGAAGUGAGGCCCAUCAUCUUCCUCUGUCACCUCACCUGACAUAAACAUCAGGGAAACAGACUUGAGAGGAAGGGAAGGAAAAUUGUAGAAGGAGCUGUUACUGCUUCCUGGCUUCUGUAUCUGAGCAUGUUUACAAACGUGUGUGUGGGGACGUGUGUGUGGUAAGUUACCUUAUUUCCCUCAAACCACAGAGAGAAGAAGUGCCUUCAUUCCCUGGCAGUAGUAGCACUCUCGCAGCCCAUGUGUUGAUUACAAGGCCCAGCACACAUACAUAUGUUCCCUGUCUGUCUGGCUCAACAAGAAACAGGCUGGUUACAUGCUUUACUAAUCAUUCCAACGGCACAGGCUCUCCAGGGACACAAGCCAAACUCCAUAUUUCAGCACACACUUGUCAACAUAAUGGUAUCAACAACAGCCUUAGAAAUGUGAUAUUAUGGGAGAGGAAGACAAACAGUACAGUCUGCUGCCUGCCACAAUCUCCUGCUUCCGCAAAGAAUGAGAGCACAGCAGUCAUUGUAAAAUUGUAUUAACCUGUGCAGGGCUGCGAUGGCUAUGUUCAUUAUUGAUUCAUCUGCUAAUUGUUUAAUUAACUAACUGGUUAAUCAUUUGGUCUAUAAAAUGGCAAAUUGACUUUUUUACAGCGUAUUUCUACCUUAAAGCCCUUUACAAUUUGUCUCUCAUUCAACCGCUCCCUCAUGCACCGACGCUGGCAAAUUUGCCAGGUAAGGUGCCGGCCUGACCAUCAGAGCAACUCGAUUGAAGCACCAAACUCUGCAAAACUCUGAAGACUCAUUAAAGUCUCCUAAAGCCCAAGUUGCAUCUUUAAUUUGCUUUGUUUUCUUCCGGCAACAGUCAAAAAAAACCCCCAAAGAUAUUCAGUUUCCUGUAAGACAAAGAAAAGCAAUAUCCUUACAAUUGGGGAGCUGGAAUCAAAGAAUGUUUGGCAUUAUUGCUGGAAAAAUUAACUACAGGUUUAACUUUUCUGUCAAUGAAUUUAUUGAUAAAUGA